This is a long non-coding RNA of Gallus gallus (chicken), 1453 nucleotides long. The record is from Ensembl. Lineage: Eukaryota; Metazoa; Chordata; Aves; Galliformes; Phasianidae.
UUAUUCACUGUGUGCCCUGAAGAUACAGGUUGAUUUCCAGAGAUGCUGAGAGCAUGAAUAGCACCAAAGCUGCUGGUGUGCAGAGAUCUCUCCAGAUGCUGAGACCAGACAUCCUGCGCUGCACGAGGGCCAUUCUUCAUCCCACACAUAUCCACUGUAACCACCCUAGGACUUCCACUCAGGCAAAAUGAAGAAACCUCUACUCUACAAAAAGCAAUCAUCUGCCUACUGAUGCUAAAAACAAAGAGCUGCCCAAAGGCUUGGGAUCAUGCUGUACAGGAGCACACAAAGGUUCAAGUGCUUAUCUGGACACUAAGAAGUCUUUCACCCAAGCAAGUUGCUUUGGAGUACAUUAGCCUGGGGCUUGAGGGAUUUCACUAUUUACCAAUUUAUUUUUUCUGUAAAGCCAAUUUCUAAUCAUCUCCUGCCUAUUCAUCUACAUAAUGUAGUAGACACAAUAGGAACAGGCAGGAAGACUGAAUUUAUUUUUGUCCAAACCUUGACUGAGGACCAAGAAAACAGACGAAAAUAUUUAUUAGCUGCUGCAGAUCUGCCUUCAAAUUUCAAACUGAAUAGAGGACCCUUCAUCUACCUUCACAAAAUCCAGAGACAUCUGAAACUCUGUUUCACUCCCCCUUGUUCUCAGUAAGAGACUAUUUGGGCAUGGUUAUGGUGUUAAGUCUGUACAACUUUCAUUUCAACACCAAUCACAGCUCAUGAACUCUACUGGGAGAAGCACGGGCAGCGCUUGGUCUGGGGACACACAACUGGUCUCCCUCAUUCCGACUAAUAUCAAGCUACUUAUUUAACAGCUUAGACUAGGGUAAAUACAGGACAAGCCUAAAUGAGGAGAGAAUCUUGGUUGCACAUCACAAACUUCUUUCUCCAUAUCUAGUGACUACAGCAAGACACAAAUGACAAAAACAUCCCCAGUGUUUUGCUGCUACCAGGUGAUUUGCUUCUGUCCCUUUGCAGUUUUAGACAUUAAUAAAAUGAUCUGAUGGAGAUAUUCACAGCAUUCAGGCAGCCAGGUUGCGUGAUGGAAGAAGUACAGAGAUAUCCCCCAUUAUGGGAUAAUGAAUGAUGGAGAGGCAUGGGCAGUUAGGCACACAGGGGACAGUGACAGAAAGCAUACUUGAUUAUUUUAAUUUCCUAAACAAUGAGAGAUCUGAAAGGUUAUUUAAACUUCAUACUCUCCUGCAUUUGUCUGAAGCUAUUAUCUCGCCCAAAGCUCUCACCUCUGUGCAACCCAAAGAGACUUCAAUACCAAACCGGUGAGAUCUAAUCAGAGUUUAUUGCUUUUGGUAUAAACACUGCCACAUUUUUUAUCUUUUUUAUUAAAUUUACCAACUUGAACAUCCAUAUUUGGGAUCGAAAGGUGAUUCCUGCACCCUGCCUCAGAGUGCUAGGCUAUAUUUCUCAUACAAUAAAAAACCUUUUCUUUUAAUUUGUC